GAUGAACGCUGGCGGCGUGCCUAAUACAUGCAAGUCGAGCGAACAGACGAGGAGCUUGCUCCUCUGACGUUAGCGGCGGACGGGUGAGUAACACGUGGAUAACCUACCUAUAAGACUGGGAUAACUUCGGGAAACCGGAGCUAAUACCGGAUAAUAUAUUGAACCGCAUGGUUCAAUAGUGAAAGACGGUUUUGCUGUCACUUAUAGAUGGAUCCGCGCCGCAUUAGCUAGUUGGUAAGGUAACGGCUUACCAAGGCGACGAUGCGUAGCCGACCUGAGAGGGUGAUCGGCCACACUGGAACUGAGACACGGUCCAGACUCCUACGGGAGGCAGCAGUAGGGAAUCUUCCGCAAUGGGCGAAAGCUUGACGGAGCAACGCCGCGUGAGUGAUGAAGGUCUUCGGAUCGUAAAACUCUGUUAUUAGGGAAGAACAAAUGUGUAGGUAACUAUGCACGUCUUGACGGUACCUAAUCAGAAAGCCACGGCUAACUACGUG
This 497-nucleotide ribosomal RNA is filed under the name uncultured bacterium. Its description in RNAcentral is "partial 16S ribosomal RNA". It matches the Rfam family "Bacterial small subunit ribosomal RNA", at positions 28 to 507 of the family's 1533-position model. The record is from RNAcentral.